RNAcentral lists this ribosomal RNA (497 nucleotides) under uncultured bacterium. RNAcentral describes it as "partial 16S ribosomal RNA". It matches the Rfam family "Bacterial small subunit ribosomal RNA", at positions 28 to 507 of the family's 1533-position model. The record is from RNAcentral.
GAUGAACGCUGGCGGCGUGCCUAAUACAUGCAAGUCGAGCGAACGGACGAGAAGCUUGCUUCUCUGAUGUUAGCGGCGGACGGGUGAGUAACACGUGGAUAACCUACCUAUAAGACUGGGAUAACUUCGGGAAACCGGAGCUAAUACCGGAUAAUAUUUUGAACCGCAUGGUUCAAAAGUGAAAGACGGUCUUGCUGUCACUUAUAGAUGGAUCCGCGCUGCAUUAGCUAGUUGGUAAGGUAACGGCUUACCAAGGCAACGAUGCAUAGCCGACCUGAGAGGGUGAUCGGCCACACUGGAACUGGGACACGGUCCAGACUCCUACGGGAGGCAGCAGUAGGGAAUCUUCCGCAAUGGGCGAAAGCCUGACGGGGCAACGCCGCGUGAGUGAUGAAGGUCUUCGGAUCGUAAAACUCUGUUAUUAGGGAAGAACAUAUGUGUAAGUAACUGUGCACAUCUUGACGGUACCUAAUCAGAAAGCCACGGCUAACUACGUG